Molecule: long non-coding RNA, 285 nt
Organism: Mauremys reevesii (Reeves's turtle)
Lineage: Eukaryota; Metazoa; Chordata; Testudines; Geoemydidae
Exons: 3
Source: RefSeq, a predicted model, not a curated record
GAACAGGCAGCAAUAUCAGCAGUGUCGAUGGAAGCCUGCAAAGAUGUUCUGGUCCUGAAAUUGCUUGAACUCAUCCGGCAGAGAUGGAGAAGAUGGCACAACUGCUUCAUCCAGGGAUGAAGAACAGAUUUUGUCUGGUGGGAGGACCUCUUCAUCACCCUUCUUCCUGAGUGGUGGAGCACCGGAAAAAACAUGAGGAAAAACCAUCAGUACCAGGUAAAUGUCCAGAGAUCUGGAAGUCCUGGGUACCAGGAGCAUAUUGUGGCCAAGCAAAGGUGAGUUGGG